AGGGUAAUCCAUCAGAUGGAUUUGAUAUUUUGAAAUACAAUGUGGACAACCUGAUCAGAGUUGACAGUUGAACUCUGGGGUGUCCUAUGAUCAUUUUGGUCAAGGGGAUGAAUUAUAUGAAAAAUAUAUCUGCAUAGGUUCUAAGGAUGUUAUUCUACAUAUUCGACCUAUCCGAUCGUCGGGUAUCAUUGCUAGAUGGUCACUUCGAUUGGUACAGAAAUUUAUUUUUAUACUACUGACUUAGGUUCGGACCUAUGAGGUCACACACAUUAGAGUUC
This 278-nucleotide long non-coding RNA is filed under the name Elaeis guineensis (African oil palm). Its description in RNAcentral is "long non-coding RNA (EGUI_LNC082309)". Lineage: Eukaryota; Viridiplantae; Streptophyta; Magnoliopsida; Arecales; Arecaceae. The record is from RNAcentral.